CUGGGGUAGGAUGACCAGGUGUCUGGUUUCGGACCGGAACACCCAAUCAAAAAGGAAUCCUGGCGGGUCCGAUCAGCACAGUGACCAGGCUGUUGAAUGUCCGGUUUGCAGCACCACAGCAAGACUGGCAGGCUCCCUGUUAGCACCGCAGCUCCUAGGUCACGAAGCAGCGGGCAUGUCUGGCUCCUAGCCUUAGGAGCUGCCAGGGUGGGGUGGUCCACAUGCUGCCCUGCCCACACACAAAGGACACAGCUGCGUAGGGCCCCAGGAAAUUUGGGGCACCAAAUUUCCUGGUGCCCUGCACAGCUGCAUGUUGCUCCUGCCCCUGCCCCUGCUCUGUCCGUGCCCCGCCUCUUCCUGCCCCUGCUCCAAUUCAGCCCUGUCCCCACUCACCUGAGGAGUGCGGGCAGGGCUGGGCCUGCGCUCACCGGCAGCGGGAAGUGCAGUGGCCUGGCCCCAGCCAUGCCGCUGGUGAGUGCUCGGGGGAGGUUCCCCGCCACACACAUCCCACGGGGGGGGGCUGCGUAGGGCCCCAGAAUAGCUAGGGACAGCACUGCCCGCAGACAUAGCUCCCAUUGGCUGGGUCAGGGUAGGGGAGGAACUAGCGCCAUUUGCGAGCGCUCAGCAGGCAGCUGUUCAGGGAUCGCAUGGCGCACGCUUCUUCUGUUGCUGCCUGGCCCUCUUCUCCUGGUGUGGCUGGGCUCAAGCUGCAGCGCGUGCCCUGCUGUGAACCACGCGAUCUGUCACCCCAUUGCCAGCACCCAGGAGUUGGAGAUUGCAAAGCGGAUGCUAAGCCUGGCGCACAGCGGUGCUGGAUGAAAGAAAAGGACCAUUGGCAGGCAUAUCAGAAGGCAAGGGAAGACGACAAAGCUGAGGCCACCCCACAGACCUGCCACUUCUAUAAUUAAUAGCAUGCCACACUUGGUGGGGAUAAUGCCAGCCCCCCAAAUGUAACUGUGGACACUUUGCAUGAGCCAGGUACAGGGAGCCCUGCAGUACGCAGUGGGGCUAGGAGGACAGGACACCAAAGAAGAUGCAAACCAUGCCUGCCAGCAGCCUUUGGCAAAGUGACCUUGAAAGGUGCCCCUUCCACACCAGUUGAAAGUCUGACCGACAUCAGGCAAAAAAAGAAGUAAACUAGGAAGGAUAUCCUCUGUGAGAUCCUCCAGUCUUUUACAGCUGUGAACAGAGACUGGAGGGGCUGAAUGUACAAGACCAGGGAGGACUAAGAACUGCUGGAAGAGAGUCAAAUAGACUGAGAGGUGCAGCAGGAAGUGCACUAUGAUAUUAUGGCUUUGAUCAGGAACUGUGCCACGUCGUCAUGGGGCUGUCCGUCCAGGAGACAGCCGUGAGCAGUCGGGCUUUUGUGCGGGUCUCCGGAUCAAGAGCUGUGAACGAUCCUGUGACACCAUCAAUUUACCUGCCAUCCAGGAUCCUGUGGUCCCCCAUCCAGCAGCUUUGGUCCACCCGCUUGUCACCAUCCAGCAGCCGAGGUCCAGUGUUCCUCCCCAAAGGCCAGCGUUUGGCCUGAGGGUAGAAGGUCCUGGACCCACCACUCACUUCCAUCUGACCUGCCCAUAGAUGACCUCGGAUUAGCAGUAGGCUAUACAGGGGAUUUGAUUUGAUUUGAUUUGUUGCUGGGGGGGGUCUAUUGGGCCUGAGCUUCAAGCUCCUUUGUUGCAGUCCACUGUUUGCUGGGUUUUUAUGUUUGCUUGUGGUUGUCCCCUUGCCCCUUUCAUAUAACCAACCCUUAAUACAAUGUUUACCUGUUUCAAACAUAA
Caretta caretta (loggerhead turtle) is the source of this 1781-nucleotide long non-coding RNA. RefSeq lists it as uncharacterized. NCBI's taxonomy places the organism in Eukaryota, Metazoa, Chordata, Testudines, Cheloniidae. The record is from RefSeq and is a predicted model, not a curated record.